CGUUUUUGAAUAUAUGCGUCCUGAGUCUGGAUUCGUCCACUCGCCCCUCCGCGUCCAUCACUCCAGGUAGAGUGAUGCGCGCGCACGUAGACGCAGGUGAGAUCACAGGUGCGACCGACCGACAGAUGCCGUUACUCCCCACAGAAAGGCUGCACUUCAUUCCCUUAAACUUUCCAACCGGUCCAUUAGUACUGUCUGGAAGCUUUUUACAGUUCCCUUCUACAUGUGAUGUAUCACAAGAUGCGAUCAUUGUGCUAAAUCCGUUGAAGACUCAGGCAUUGAACUCGUCGUGUAGUCACGAGGUCUUCAAAACUUAAGCGAAGCUGAAACGCUGUAGACUAAAGGUCAACGUCUCCCCCUUGUGGUGAGUUGAUUUUGGCCCAUUCAUUUAU
RNAcentral lists this long non-coding RNA (392 nucleotides) under Danio rerio (zebrafish). RNAcentral describes it as "si:dkey-238d18.14 (ENSDARG00000097156.2)". Lineage: Eukaryota; Metazoa; Chordata; Actinopteri; Cypriniformes; Danionidae. The record is from RNAcentral.